This 428-nucleotide ribosomal RNA is filed under the name Bacteroidota bacterium. RNAcentral describes it as "Bacteroidetes bacterium partial 16S ribosomal RNA". It matches the Rfam family "Bacterial small subunit ribosomal RNA", at positions 355 to 776 of the family's 1533-position model. Lineage: Bacteria; Pseudomonadati; Bacteroidota. The record is from RNAcentral.
UAGGGAAUCUUCCGCAAUGGACGCAAGUCUGACGGAGCAACGCCGCGUGAGUGAAGAAGGAUUUCGGUUCGUAAAACUCUGUUGUUAGAGAAGAACAGCGCAUAGAGUAACUGUUAUGCGUGUGACGGUAUCUAACCAGAAAGCCACGGCUAACUACGUGCCAGCAGCCGCGGUAAUACGCAGGUCCCGAGCGUUGUCCGGAUUUAUUGGGCGUAAAGCGAGCGCAGGCGGUUAGAAAAGUAUGAAGUGAAAGGCAGUGGCUCAACCAUUGAAGGCUUUGGAAACUGAUUAACUUGAGUGCAGAAGGGGAGAGUGGAAUUCCAUGUGUAGCGGUGAAAUGCGUAGAUAUAUGGAGGAACACCGGUGGCGAAAGCGGCUCUCUGGUCUGUAACUGACGCUGAGGCUCGAAAGCGUGGGGAGCGAACAGG